UAGUAAGAAGUACGAUGGCGGACGGGUGGAGUAACGUGUAAAGAACUUGCCCUCUAGACUGGGAUAACAGAUAGAAAUGUCUGAUAAUACUGGAUAUUAUUGUUACAUGGCAUCAUGUAGGAAUGAAAGGAUAAGAUUGCUAGAGGAGAGCUUUGCAUCCUAUUAGCUAGUUGGUAAGGUAGAGGCUUACCAAGGCGAUGAUAGGUAGCCGGCCUGAGAGGGUGGACGGCCACAAGGGGACUGAGAUACGGCCCUU
Molecule: ribosomal RNA, 256 nt
Filed under: uncultured bacterium
Lineage: Bacteria
Description: partial 16S ribosomal RNA
Rfam family: Bacterial small subunit ribosomal RNA
Source: RNAcentral